Molecule: ribosomal RNA, 227 nt
Filed under: uncultured bacterium
Lineage: Bacteria
Description: partial 16S ribosomal RNA
Rfam family: Bacterial small subunit ribosomal RNA
Source: RNAcentral
GAUGAACGCUAGCGGCAGGCUUAAUACAUGCAAGUCGAGGGGCAUCAGGGGUAGCAAUACUCGCUGGCGACCGGCAAACGGGUGCGGAACACGUACAGAACCUUCCUUUAAGUGGGGGAUAGCCCAGAGAAAUUUGGAUUAAUACCCCGUAACAUUAUGGAGUGGCAUCACUUUAUAAUUAUAGAUUAAUCGCUUAAAGAUGGCUGUGCGGCUGAUUAGGUAGUUGG